GCUUGUUUGUGCAAAUAGCCUGGGAUCAGGCUAUGAUUCCUGGAUCAUUUCUCUCCUUGCGGAAGUUGGGGGACAAGAGCGAACUCUGUGACAUCUCGGGGAUGCAGCAGGUUCCUGUGGCCCCUAUGUCGAGGGGAAGGACUGAGAGGCAGCAGGGAGAGGAUGUGAAGCAGGACCUGGCGACGAAAGGGGGGCCCCACCGAUACCCCCACUCAGGAGGCUCAGAUGUGUGAAACAAAUCCCAACCCCUCUGUUAUGAAUUUUUUUUGUUGGCAUGUGCAGGAGGAAGUGAUGGACUGGUUCUUUCUGGAGAGUGGCUGCCAACCCCAAGCAGCCCCCUGCGGCCCCCCAGCCCCUUUACCAGCGUUUGUUCCUAGCAGAAGGGCUGUUUGUGUGCUGUUUGGGCUCCUUUUCUUUGUUUUAAGUGUGGCUACAAUCAGCUGCUGAGAGGCUCACUGCUCCGGUUCGUUCCCUGCCAAUUUCACUGAGAGCUGGCACCACAGGCGGCUCCGGAGGCAACGAAGAGAGGCUGGAGAGGAUAGAUCAUGGAGGGGAAAAAAUGGACACAUGCCAUCGACGGAGCGGCGAGGCUGCCAGAAUGCCAGCAGGCAGCAUGGGGCCAAAAAAAAAAACCACCCCACACAGAGCAGAAAAGAAGCUGGCAGCCCAUCUCGAAGCAGGCGGUGGCUGAGUUGGGAGAGGUGCCAUGGAGGACGGGCUGCAGCGAGCAGGCAAUGCGGGAAAGAGAGAGAGAAAAACAGACAGACAAAUUGGCAGAGGCAGCACAGGUAGCAGACGGCGAAUCGGGAGAGGAAACAGAUGCAGCCCGGCCCCAAAGGGAUCCCUGUUCAUCGCUGGCUCUCACUGGGUCCAUCACACUGAGGAUGCCAUUUCUCCCACCGAGAGAGUACAGAGCUUUGACUGUAGGAUAGCUACGCAGCAGUCCAGUGGGAACCUCCACCGUCCCCCCACGAGCCCUCUCCCACUGCACGCACUGAACUGCAUCAGCGUCCGCUGGCUUCGGGAGCUCGCAUACGCUGCUCUGAGAGAUGAGGCCAGGCCAGGUGCCUUCCCCUCCUCGUAGGAAUAUUCCUGGAUUUUGGCUCUUUCACUGGGAGGUGUAGGAGGAACCUCUGAGGCCUCAGCAGAGGAUGUCUUACAACAGCCAGGCAGCAGUGCCCGAUGUGUCUCUCCGCACGUCGCCAGCUGGGUGUAACGGUGCACGCGCAGCGUGAGCACACGGCACUGGGCCGCAGAGUUAGCAGUGUGCUGGGAGGAGGGCGGGUUAUGUGCUUGCAGGGAUUCACCCAUUGCUGCUCAGCUAUUGCCCGGGACACUUGGGACAGCCCUCUGGAACGUGGGAAUGAGCACGAAGGCCUCCUGGAAUUUCACAAACAGCUCCUUUGGCACCGGGUCAUGGCUCAGACCAGCACAGGGGCCUGGUGAGAACAUGUCAGGGCGCGUCCAGGGAAGGGGAAAGCAAUGGUGCCAUCUGGAGCGGUGGGCGAGGCGCUCUGAACGGCACAAGGGACAGGAUGCAAAGGUUACAUGAUAUCAGUUAAAUCUACCCUGCAGCCCAACACGGUAUCUGCACUCACCUGGCAUGCGGUGACUCCUUCAUUAUCAAGGCCUGGCCAAGGUGGUGUCGGCUACGUGACACACUGCAAAGAAACUGGUGUGACCUGGGGAGGCACAGAGGGCAGCAGAGUCAGUCCCUACUAGGAGCGCAGGCCCAGCUGUAUCUGGGGGGAGGAGAAUGGGGUGCAGGAACUGAAGGCCUCAGCUGCCCCCUUGCCAGUCCCAGCAGAGGGACAUUUGUAGGAAAGGCUGCAGCUCCAGUGGACCAAAGUCUGGCUGCAUUGGAGAUUCCUGGGCUGAGCACAGCUGUUCUGCUCCCUUCCUGGCUCAAAGACAGUUGAUCAGCACGAAGGGUGGAAAGUCCAAAUUGAGCAAAACAAAAGUCUGUUCGCCCUGUGUUUAAUUAGCUUGUGGAACUCACUGCCACCAGAUGUCGGUGAAGCCAAGAACUUCACGAGAAUCAAAGAGUGACUGGACAUUUAUACAGAUAACAAGACUCUCCAGAGCUAUUAUCGUACGUACGUCAACCAAAAGAGGUUGAGAAGGCGUAUAAAAUCUCCUGCUUCAGGGCUUAAGCGAAUCUCCAGCUACUAGGGAUCCUGCUACCUAUUGGUAUCCAAUACCCAGAGGAGGCCAGAAGAUGAAGAUGUAACUAUCUAUCUAACCAUCCCAACGUUCAUCUCAUGCUCAUCACUGUGAUAAACGACUGCCUCCCGACAGAAUUACCCCAAUGUGAAUGAAGUGUUGUGUGCAGCACAUGGCCUGGGGCCAGAGAGCAGGAGAUAAGGGGAGCAGCAGAGAAAACGAGUGAAUUUUAGUUCUGAAAGUGGGACAAUGAUAGCUCUGGCUGGAGCCAGGCCAGGUUGGGCCCACGGCCCCCCAGCCCCCGGGUGUCUCUGCAGCUCCUGUGCUAUUCUCUUCCCAGGUUCAUUAGGAGGGCCCAGCUCCUGGCUUCCUCCAGAGAAUGCUGGGGAAAUAUGAAUGACAAGGAUUCAGUGAAAGGGAGACAGUGGGUGAGAAAUGGUCUCCUCUGGCAGAGCCAGCUACUGUGCAAAUAAGGGGUCAGAUUGUGUUGUGAAGGCCAAAAAUAUAACUGGGUUCAGAAAAGAAGUAGCUAAGUGCAUGGAAGACAGUCCAUCUAUGGCUAUUGGCCAAGACGGUCAGGGAUGCAACCCCAUGCUCUAGGUGUCCCUAAAAAGCUGCCUGCCAGAAGCUGGGACUGGACGAACGGAGAUAGAUCACUCAACAAUUACCCUGUUCUGGUCGUUCCCUCUGAAGUGCCUGGCACCAGCCACUGUUGGAAUACAGGACACUAGGCUGGGUGGACCAUUGCUGUGACCCACUGUGACUGUUCUGAUGUUCAGAUCCGCAGAGCCUGCUCUGGCUGCUUGGCAGGGGUCUCCUCAGGAGCUGGAGAAUAGCUGUGAAGGAGAGGACACCCCCACCCCAACCCCAGAACCACCAGCAUGGACAGGUCCAAACUGACAGUCCAGAGAGGAAAGGCUCUGUACCCUGUGCCAAGACCCUAGGCCCCCCUCUCUGCCCCUUCUCCUUAGUUUCCCCUCCAGGAGUGGGGACAGACUCUGACGACGUCAGAGUGGAUGUUGUUUUAACAGGUUCCAAGUGUUUCCACAUUUACAUUUGUUUCCAUUUAGCACAUUUAAAAGGCAGAAAGGAUGCUGUGAAUGUUACUGAGCAGGCACAAGAAGGAUGGGAGAGAAAUUCAUCACAGGACACCUCUGUUUUGCCUGCCCUGCUCGUCCUCCCCCGGCACCGAGAGGACAGGCUCUCUCCGUUCCAUGGUCAGGGCUGCUGCUCUCCCGAGUGAGUGGCAAGGAGUCCCGGGCGUGCAGCCCCUGUGCAGGUGGAAGGGCGCUGGGGAAGCUGGGGGGUGCAUGCCCCUGACCUGCAGGAGGCAGGUGCCUUGACAAGUAGCUCCAGGGCUGUGCUGGCGAGGGGGCAAGCCAGAGCCCUCAGUGUUCCUGGAGGGCUAACAGGAUGGGUUGGAAGAUGAGGUCCUCCCAGCAGCUCUCCAGUCUCCCCUCACUCUCGCUCAGGGCCUGAUUCUGAACAGCUCCACAUCUUGGUGCAGGUCAGCUCCAGACCCAGUGCCAGACCCUGGGACUGGGGCUCAUCCCCAGCAGAUUCAGAUGAGAAACUUCAAUUCUCCUUCUCUCCUGUCCCAUGCCGUUGGGGGAGGCCUCUCUGCCCAGGAGGUGCAGUCAGACGGACUGGGGGGCAGGGCACCCUGGGGCUUGGCCGUAGCAGCCUGCAGGCAGGUGGGAGGUGGGUGUUUUCCUUGUAGGGGAGGGGGCCAAAUGCCUUGGAGAGGGUCUUGCCAGCGAUGCUGGAGGCAGAGCUGCCUGCGCGGCGUGUGGCAGCAUCUCGGCAGCACUCAGGGAGGAAGCGGCUCAGCUUGAUGCGAAGCCCCCCACUGGCUCCUGCUCAUCGGAGUGAGCCAAGAUGACUCGGUUUGUCUGGAAUCUGUGGGUGUCUUGAACGGGUUGGGGGGUAAUUUGUCUGUCUCCUGCAGCUGGCUGUCACUUCACAUCUGUGCACCAGUUUCAUUUUCACUAUCUGUAAAAAAUCCAAGGUCUGACAGGUAGCUAAAAAAAACCCCAACGAGUAACCCACACACCAUUCAUCUUGAGCAAAGCAAGCGGCUGGGAGCCUGGGACGGCUCUCCAGUGCUGGGGGGGAGGAUGGAGGGUGAGAGGAGACGCUGUUGGGACGGGGGCACAGAGAUCAGAAUCACUGCUGGUUCCAUAUGACGGUAUAUUGCAGGGCUGUGCUGGGCCUGUGAGUGGCCUUGGCUGCAGCUGGAUGCUGUCUGGAGAGAGCAGAGGGGAAGCGCACAAGCUACCCAUGGGAUUGCUGAGCGCUGGGCUCAGAGGAGAGCUCAGCAGGGCGAAGGAUGGAGGCAAAUGGUGGUGGGAAAACUUUGGAGUGAAAACGUUGGAUUUGUGAGAAGCGUGGAGCCACUCUAGAGAGGAAAGUGGGGACUGACCCUUCUCGAGCAGGUGCCAGGCCUGCACUGGGAGCUAGAAAUGGCCUGCAGAGCACGAGUGAUUUGUUUUGGGGUCUCAGACUGGAGAACAUGAGACGUCUUGUCCCAGGUGCACAGAAAGAGGAGCCGGGAGGUGUUCCCCCCUUGCCAUGGAAGUGGCUGGGUGAGCCAAGGGAACAGGAAGCUCCCUGGCAUGAAACCAGAGACCAUGGAGCAUGUGGUUAGGAUGUCAGACUAUGCACAGAACAUGGGUACAGCGGAUAUUGUGUCUACAGUCACUGGUUUCCAGCUCCGUGUCACAUAGAGUCACUUAGGACCAGGACUCAAAAUUGUGAAAACUACUAUUAGAAAUGUAAUUCUCCUCUGUUUUAUGACAUCACAGAAUAUGGCGGAGCUGGCCACGCUGUCAUGCUAGGUAACUUUGUGGACACAUGGUCACAGGCAUUUUCUGACAUGCUUUCAUCCCCGGCACCUCUCUGCUCUGUCUGCUCCAGCUCCCAGCACUACCCGCCCUUGAGAAGCAGCUGAUUCUCCCUGAGCAGCAGUAGAGGUGAGCUCUCUCCUGCUGCACGCUGGGCUUGUCCUGCCAUACCAAAGGGAGGCGAGAGAUGGUUUGGACCAGUGGUUCUCAUCCUGCAGCCCAAUCAGCUCACAGCUGCGACCCAUGUGACAUCCUCAGGGCCAUACAGACAGUAUAUCUAUUGCCUGGAUGCGGCCCACCUAACACACAGAGCUGCAUAUGCAGCCCACAGUGGUAAUGUAAACAGGUUGAGACCCGCUGGUCUGGACAUUCGCUGUACAUUUGAUACAAUUACACAGUUAAGUGUGCGUGAUUUCAAAACACACAAAGUUAUUAAAAACCCACCGAAACUGCUCCAUUGUCAUUCCGUUCAAAAGCCAUUGUCACACGAGCGUCCUGUUAGAGUCUACGGAACUGGACAUCUUUCUAAUAUUGUAAUAUUAAACAGAUGUGACAUCUUGCUCCGUCCUGCUCUCACUGACCCCAGGGCAGCCCCAUUGCCAGAUGCCCAAGUGAGGUUUGCACACAGCCCUGCAGGAAUGCAUAAGAACAGACUUACUGGGUCAGACCAAAGGUCCAUCUAACCCAGGAUCCUGUCUUCCAACAGUGGCCAA
Molecule: long non-coding RNA, 5719 nt
Organism: Gopherus evgoodei (Goodes thornscrub tortoise)
Lineage: Eukaryota; Metazoa; Chordata; Testudines; Testudinidae
Exons: 3
Source: RefSeq, a predicted model, not a curated record